GCUGGUGGCGCUCGCUGGCAGGCGGGGCGGCGGAGGAAGCAGCCGGGCCCGGCGAGGCGGAGACCGCCCCAGAGCGCCCCCUAAUGAGCAAGGCGCCGCUGCCGCCGCACGCUGGCCCGCUCGUCCGCUCGUUUGCUCGUCCGCGGGCCGCUAGGCCGGGACCUCGAGAGCCGGAGGCCGGGGAGCGAGCGGAGGCCACGCCGCCCUCACGCCGCGAGAGCCCCUCGGCGGCCCGCCUGGCCGCCUGUCACAGUCAGACUCCCUGCUGCCCGGCCCGGAAGCUCCCCUUGAAGCUGCCCUUUCACCGCGCCCCCGACCCGCACUCGCUCCCGAGGCUUUCCUUCUGAUCCUCCCGGGGUGCUAAGGUCUAGAGUUUUCAAUCUGUUCCUUUAAGGCUGGAAGUCUUGUUUUCGGAAAGCACUGCAUCCGUAAUGGCAAUUCCACCCCUCACCCGCUCAAAGGAAUCUAGUGGGAAUCCAGUGAUCCACACAGACAGGCUGAAAUUUGGUCAAGGAGGGAAAAGCACUUAGCCAAGUCCCUGGCAUUGAAGAAGUGCUCAAAAAACCGGCUGCAGGAGCCCCUGGCCAGCCCUGGCCACCACGGAGGCAUGGUGACCGCGUUCUGGUUGAAACACAGAGAGAGUCUAAUGUCCUCAGCAUUUUCACAGGACCUGUCUAAAUUUUAGUUUUAAAACCCUAAUUUAUAAAAUCUUAUGUUCCUUAAUAAAGUUUGUAAAUCUGAGGACAGCUUUUACCUGUCCUUUGGGAACUGCCGUAUUUGAAUGGGUGCCAUCUCUUCUGCCUACUUUGAAACUGCAUCACUGCUUUCCCACAUGCUGAGCGAACACCGAUGACACCUGGAGAGAGAAAACCUUCCCGGCAGAUGUACACUUGGUUCCCGCAUGGUAGGACAUCUGGCCCAGCACCAGGCACACCAGCCCUUGAUGAGGUGGAAUUAGUACCUGCCAGCCACGCCCAGACGUCAGACAGGAGCUCAAGCCCUGAGUCUCAAGCCUUGCAAGGCAAAAGCAUCCCUCAUCGCUUUGUCUACCGAAGCCACCCCCAGAUUCUUGGGCCUUCUUUCAAAACAUUUUAACACUGAAUCCUGUGAGCUUAAGAACUUGGACUUUAAGAAGUAUCAUAGUUCCUGCUGCCCUGCCAUGAGCUGUUUCUCCUGUCUGGUGCUGCCCUGCCUUGGAGCCUGCUGACUGUAGACUGAAACCUCUACAAAGUCAAGACAACAGAGCUCUUCUGCACACAGACAGUCUUGCUGGAUGGUAACAGAACGCUCUAAAAUAGAGCAUAAACUAACGUGAAGAUCUAAAUUAUUUGAAAUCAGCGACUGGCAACCAAGCAGCUCAAGAACCCCAAGCAGAGGUGCAGGAUCGUGGACCAGCUCCCACUUUAAGUGCCAUGAAUUAGACAAAAGUAUAGGUACAUGAGGAAUGCUAAUAUGCUGCAUCUUCAAGGGUGGGAUUUUUCAAGUUGAGCUCAAUUAGACUUAAAUUAAUACAUAGUUUAGACCCA
Heterocephalus glaber (naked mole-rat) is the source of this 1526-nucleotide non-coding RNA. The record is from RefSeq and is a predicted model, not a curated record. Lineage: Eukaryota; Metazoa; Chordata; Mammalia; Rodentia; Bathyergidae.